AUUGAACGCUGGCGGCAUGCUUUACACAUGCAAGUCGAACGGCAGCGCGGGCUUCGGCCUGGCGGCGAGUGGCGAACGGGUGAGUAAUGCAUCGGAACGUGCCCAGUAGUGGGGGAUAGCCCGGCGAAAGCCGGAUUAAUACCGCAUACGACCUGAGGGUGAAAGCGGGGGACCGAAAGGCCUCGCGCUAUUGCAGCGGCCGAUGUCGGAUUAGCUAGUUGGUGGGGUAAAGGCUUACCAAGGCGACGAUCCGUAGCUGGUCUGAGAGGACGACCAGCCACAGUGGGACUGAGACACGGCCCAGACUCCUACGGGAGGCAGCAGUGGGGAAUUUUGGACAAUGGGGGCAACCCUGAUCCAGCCAUGCCGCGUGCGGGAAGAAGGCCUUCGGGUUGUAAACCGCUUUUGUUCGGGAAGAAAUCCUCUGGGCUAAUACCCCGGGGGGAUGACGGUACCGGAAGAAUAAGCACCGGCUAACUACGUG
This 484-nucleotide ribosomal RNA is filed under the name uncultured bacterium. RNAcentral's name for it is "partial 16S ribosomal RNA". It matches the Rfam family "Bacterial small subunit ribosomal RNA", at positions 28 to 507 of the family's 1533-position model. The record is from RNAcentral.